This 1035-nucleotide long non-coding RNA is filed under the name Oreochromis niloticus (Nile tilapia). RNAcentral's name for it is "lncRNA (ENSONIG00000041820.1)". The record is from RNAcentral. Lineage: Eukaryota; Metazoa; Chordata; Actinopteri; Cichliformes; Cichlidae.
GAUAAAGCCUCUUCUUACCCACAACCUGGUAUUCAUCUUUUUUUUUGUUGCGGCCUUGAGCCGGGUCGUAACAGAAUUGGGGGCUCGUCCGGGAUACGUCCGUCUUCGCUGGAGGGUCCGAGGGACCGCUUCAGCCUUCCGUUUCCGCUGGAGGGGUCCAAGGGGCCUGUCCAGCCAACAUUCGUCUUCGCUGGAGGGUUCGAGGGGCCUGUCCAGCAUUCGUCCGUCUUCGCUGGAGGGUCCGAGGGACCGCUUCAGCCUUCCGUUUCCGCUGGAGGGGUCCAAGGGGCCUGUCCAGCCAACAUUCGUCUUCGCUGGAGGGUCCGAGGGGCCUGUCCAGCCUUCAUUCGUCUCCGCUGGAGGGGUCCAAGGGGCCUGUCCAGCCAACAUUCGUCUUCGCUGGAGGGUCCGAGGGACCGCUUCAGCCUUCGUCCGUCUUCACUGGAGGGUCCGAGGGACCGCUUCAGCAUUCCGUCUUCGCUGGAGGGUCCGAGGGACCGCUUCAGGCAUUCCGUCUUCGCUGGAGGGUCCGAGGGCCCGCUUCAGGCAUUCCGUCUUCGCUGGAGGGUCCGAGGGCCCGCUUCAGGCAUUCCGUCUUCGCUGGAGGGUCCGAGGGACCGCUUCAGCCAUUCGUCUCCUCUGGAGGGUCCAAGGGGCCUGUCCAGCCUUCAUUCGUUUCAGCUGGAGGGUCCGGAGGACCGCUUCAGCCUUCCGUCUCCGCUGGAGGGUCCGAGGGACCACUUCAGCCUUCCGUCUCCGCUGGAGGGUCCAAGGGGCCUGUCCAGCCUUCAUUCGUCUCUGCUGGAGGGUCCGAGGGACUGCUUCAGCCUUCCGUCUCCGCUGGAGGGUCCAAGGGGCCUGUCCAGCCAUCAUUCGUCUUCGCUGGAGGGUCCGAGGGGCCUGACCAGCCUUCGUCCGUCUUCGCUGGAGGGUCCGGAGGACCGCUUCAGCAUUCAGUCUGCCUGCAGAAUAGCGGCCAGUGCCUUGUGCGCUGGUCCUCCAGGACUACAGCAUUCAUGGCUCUCUAGGUCAUGA